Pelobates cultripes (western spadefoot toad) is the source of this 400-nucleotide non-coding RNA. NCBI's taxonomy places the organism in Eukaryota, Metazoa, Chordata, Amphibia, Anura, Pelobatidae. The record is from the annotation of a GenBank genome assembly.
CUUAUUCACACAUAGGGAUCUAUUCACCAAAGAGCAAGUUGUAGUGAACUGACAGUUUUUUUUCAACAUUAUUUUCUCUUGGAAUAUGUGUGUCUACAUUAACUCGCCGCAGCUCGCUGUUUAGUAAAUACGUCUCUUAUUUAUUUUAGAGGAGCCACAAUAUGAACAGGAGUUUGGGAGCAAACCUUAUUACAACAGAUCCUGUUGGUAUUAAAUAUAAAAUAAUCUAAAAAAAAAAUAAAAAAAUAAACGCUGUUCCUGCAAAGCGGAAUUACUGCCCUAGGGAUUUGUAAAUGUUUCCUUGUUAUUUAUUUAGAUACUGAUACAGAUAAUGUGUAUAAUGUGAGUAUGUGUGUGAAUACAUAUAAAUAUAUAUUACACAUUACAAGUCAUAUGAUUU